UUGCUUCAGCAGCACAUAAACUAAAAUUGGAAUGGUACAGAGAAGAUUAGCGUGGCCCCUGCGCAUGGAUGACAUGCAAAUUCAUGAAACAACCCUGGGAGAU
RNAcentral lists this small nuclear RNA (103 nucleotides) under Vombatus ursinus (common wombat). The record is from RNAcentral. Lineage: Eukaryota; Metazoa; Chordata; Mammalia; Diprotodontia; Vombatidae.